This 75-nucleotide transfer RNA is filed under the name Holbrookia lacerata. RNAcentral describes it as "tRNA-Met". It matches the Rfam family "tRNA". Rfam says of the family: Transfer RNA (tRNA) molecules are approximately 80 nucleotides in length. Their secondary structure includes four short double-helical elements and three loops (D, anti-codon, and T loops). Lineage: Eukaryota; Metazoa; Chordata; Lepidosauria; Squamata; Phrynosomatidae. The record is from RNAcentral.
AAUAAAAGUAAAGUCAGCUAACUAAGCUAUUGGGCCCAUACCCCGAAAAUGUUGGUUUAAACCCCUCCUUUACUA